AUGUAUGGUCGUCAGUAUACCUGGGCCAAUAACCGAUCGGUGCCAACCUUUGAAAAACUUGACCGGGUGCUAGUUACCACCGACUGGGAAUAUAAAUAUCCCCUUGCCUCGGUUCGGGCAUUAGAAAGAAUUGAGGCCUUAUCGGAUCACGCUCCAUUGCUCACUGAUUUUGGACAACCAAUCCCAAAUUCUAACUGUCCUCGAUUUAAAUUUGGAUUGGGAGGGCUCACUAGAGAGGGAUUUCACGACCUGGUUAAGAAAGUGUGGGCGUGUCUGCCUCGCCGUAACACACCCAUUCAACGAUGGAAUAAUCGAAUUCGCGCAUUGCGUCGAUUCCUUCGUGGAUGGGCCAAGCAUACUGCUGGCAUCUACAAAAAAGAAAAUCUGCGACUAUCUACCUUAAUUGAUUCCCUUGAUAAAAUAGCGGAGGUGAGGCCUCUGUAG
RNAcentral lists this ribosomal RNA (444 nucleotides) under Triticum aestivum (bread wheat). RNAcentral's name for it is "partial small subunit ribosomal RNA". The record is from RNAcentral. Lineage: Eukaryota; Viridiplantae; Streptophyta; Magnoliopsida; Poales; Poaceae.